GGCGGGGCCCCGGUGCCAGGUGCGGUUUGGUCCUCCCCGGGCGCCGUAGGCGGCGCAUCCCUCGCGCCCGGGGCUGAGAUCCUCCCGCGCCUGAGGCAGCGGUGGCAGCUGAGCGGAGCUGCAGUGGCCCCAGCCUCCUCCCCAUUUCCGCGCCUCCGGGACCAUGGCGGCGCAGGCGGGUGAAGAUGCCUGGAGGUGCCGGGGCUGUGGAGACCAUGUCACUCCAAACCAGAGGUUAUACAGGACAGUCAGUGAGGCCUGGCAUAGCUCCUGCUUCCGGUGUUCAGAAUGCCAGGAUUCCCUUACCAACUGGUACUACGAGAAGGAUGGGAAGCUUUACUGCCACAAGGACUACUGGGGGAAGUUUGGGGAGUUCUGCCAUGGAUGCUCCCUGCUGAUGACAGGACCCGCCAUGGUGGCCGGGGAGUUCAAGUACCACCCAGAGUGCUUUGCCUGUAUGAGCUGCAAGGUGAUCAUUGAGGAUGGAGAUGCAUAUGCCCUGGUGCAGCAUGCCACCCUCUACUGUGGGAAGUGCCACAACGAGGUGGUGCUGGCACCCAUGUUUGAGAGGCUGUCCACGGAGUCUGUUCAGGACCAGCUGCCCUACUCCGUCACACACAUCUCCCUGCCGGCCACCACUGAGGGCAGGCGGGGCUUCUCAGUGUCUGUGGAGAGUGCCUGCUCCAACUACGCCACCACUGUGCAAGUAAAGGAGGUCAACCGGAUGCACAUCAGUCCCAACAACCGCAAUGCCAUCCACCCUGGAGACCGCAUCUUGGAGAUCAAUGGGACCCCCGUCCGCACACUCCGCGUGGAGGAGGUUGAAGAUGCCAUUAGCCAGACGAGCCAGACGCUUCAGCUCUUGAUUGAACAUGACCCCGUCUCCCAGCGCCUGGACCAGCUGCGGCUGGAUGCACGGCUCUCUCCCCACAUGCAGAAUGCUGGACACUCCCACACCCUUAGCCCCCUGGACACCAAGGAGAAUCUGGAAGGGACACUAAGGAGACGCUCCCUAAGGCGCAGUAACAGCAUCUCCAAGUCCCCUGGUCCCAGCUCCCCAAAGGAGCCCCUCCUGCUCAGCCGUGACAUCAGCCGCUCCGAAUCCCUGCGAUGCUCCAGUAGCUGCUCGCAGCAGAUCUUCCGGCCAUGUGACCUGAUCCACGGGGAGGUCCUGGGGAAGGGCUUCUUUGGGCAGGCCAUCAAGGUGACACACAAAGCCACAGGCAAAGUGAUGGUCAUGAAGGAGUUAAUUCGGUGUGAUGAGGAGACACAGAAGACUUUCCUGACUGAGGUGAAGGUGAUGCGCAGCCUGGACCACCCCAACGUGCUCAAGUUCAUCGGUGUGCUGUACAAGGACAAGAAGCUGAACCUGCUGACUGAGUACAUCGAGGGGGGCACACUGAAGGACUUUCUGCGCAGCGUGGACCCGUUCCCCUGGCAGCAGAAGGUCAGAUUUGCCAAAGGCAUCGCCUCUGGAAUGGCCUAUUUACAUUCCAUGUGCAUCAUCCACCGGGACCUGAACUCACACAACUGCCUCAUCAAGCUGGUAUGUCCCACCACUCUGGGCCACUUCCCUGUCACUAGGGAAGCUAACUGUCCCCUCCUGCCUUUUUUUUUUUUUUUUUUUCCCCGCACCCACAACAUACGGGAGUUCCAGGCUAGGGGUCCAAUCAGAGGUAUAGUUGCUACAGCCAUAGCAACACCAGAUCUGAGCCACAUCUUCAACCUACACUACAGCUCACAGCAACGCCAGAUCCUUAACCCACUGAGCGAGGCCAGGAUACCAGUUGGGUAGCGCAUGGAUACUAGUUGGGUUCGUUACCACUGAGCCACAAUGGGAACUCCUCCUGUCCUGCUCUAGACCAGAAGUAUGGCCAGGGCUCCUUCUUGCCCUUCUUGCUGCCUCCCAUGCCCUCCUCUGUCUUCUGGGGGCCCCCCUGACACAUACAGUAAAGUCUGCUUCCUCCCAAAGGCAGCCUUUGAAAUCCUUCAGUCACAAGGGACUUCAGAAGUUCCUUAGCUGUAUGUUGUCCCUUUUCCUGGUCUUCCCCUGCGGUAGUAAAAGCCACUGAGGACUCCGAUUACAGCUGUGACACCUGAAUCCUCAAGGCCACAGAGCUAAUAAAUUUCCAGUCACUUCCUCCUACUGGCCAGUCAGUCCUGGCUAUUAUAAGUUACUCCUCCUGUUGCCUUACAGUGCGGCUUCCUGGGUGUCCACUCACUGGCCCUGACUGUGCCCUCUGGACUCACACCAAACAAUCUUAAUCCCUUUUCCACAUGACUGCCUUGUAGCUAUUUGAAGAGCUUAUCUCCCCCACAUCCCCCCACUGAAUGCCUCCACCUCAUCUUUCCCUGUCUUAUCCUGGUUCUAGCCAUGGCCUUAAAUCUUUCUGGGAACAAGGCAGGAUGAGAAAAAAUCAAAACAAAAGAAAUCCUCUGUCCUGCCUCCAAGUUCCUCCUUCCAGGUCCCAGAGCCUUACCCGUCCCAGCUCCAGGGCCUCUGCUGUGCACCCCUGGGUCUGGGGAUCUGCCAUGUGGAGAGAGCAGACGGACAAGACUGUGGUGGUGGCUGACUUUGGGCUGUCACGGCUCAUAGUGGAGGAGCGGAAGAAGCCCUCAGUCGAGAAGGCCGCCACCAAGAAACGUACCUUACGCAAGAGUGACCGCAAGAAGCGCUACACGGUAGUGGGAAACCCCUACUGGAUGGCCCCUGAGAUGCUGAACGGAAAGAGCUAUGAUGAGACGGUGGAUGUCUUCUCUUUUGGGAUCGUGCUCUGUGAGAUCAUUGGGCAGGUGUAUGCAGAUCCUGAUUGCCUGCCCCGAACACUGGACUUUGGCCUCAACGUGAAGCUUUUCUGGGAGAAGUUUGUUCCCACAGACUGCCCCCCGGCCUUCUUCCCCCUGGCUGCCAUCUGCUGCAAACUGGAGCCCGAGAGCAGACCGGCAUUCUCAAAACUGGAGGACUCCUUUGAGGCCCUCUCCCUGUACCUGGGGGAGUUGGGCAUCCCGCUGCCAGCCGAGCUGGAGGAACUAGACCAUACUGUGAGCCUGCAGUACGGCCUGAUCCGGGACUCGCCCCCCUAGCCCUGGCCGAGCCCCCUGCGGGGGGGCGUCCACAGCCACCACUGCCCCCUCUUCGCCCAGCCCUGCCAUGGGCGGGGCCAUCCGGGCGUCUCGUGGAUUGGCAGCUUGUUUAGAAGCAGAACAAGCCAUUCUACUACCUCCCUAGGAGGCGAGCGGGCCCAGCACCAGGGAAACACAUCUCCGCAUGUUCUGAGGCCUGGUUAUCGUCUGUAAAUCCAACACUCGCCUGAAAGCUGUGAAGAAGAAAAAAACGAAAAAAAUAAGCCUGGUCAUGUGCCAGGAGGAAUCUGUUACUCAUGACCACUCGGGAACUCCCCAGCAGUGGAUUCAGGGAGCUCUUGCUUACACUAAUCAGCGCGACCUGGGCCUGCUGGGCAGGAUCCCAGGUGAACCUGCAUGGGCCCUGAGGCCUCCGGUCCAGCUGGGAGCAGGAGGACCUCAUGUGGAAGCAUGGAGGAGAGAGAGCGCAAUGCAAGGACGUAAAGCAACAGUGGUGCUACCCCCUCCCACGCCACGUCCCGCCUCCCCUGGGACAAGGCUGAGGGCAGAGGUCUGAGAGCCCCUCAGUUAGUGUGUGGUGGAUCUGGCCAGGAGUUGUGGGAAGGGCUGGUUUCUGUCGCCUCCCAGGCUCACGGGGAACAGCAGACUAUGAUGCUGAGCCUGGCUGGGAACUUCUAGGCACAUCUUUUCUGCCUCCAAGCAAGCAGUCAGCCACACAUGCAGAAAGGGAAGAGGCCCUGCCCUCUAGAAAGCCCUAGUGUCUUGGCUUUUGUCACACCCUGGUGGGCACUCCAGCCAGGUGCCUGAGACAUUUGGCUCUGCGGGUUCGGGAGGACAGUGUGGCUCAUCUGGGGCGGAUGUGGGAAUCUCAGCAAUCUCCUGGCCCUGUCCACACCGCUGCUCACCCCUCCAUGUCUCAUCCAGGCAGCACCUUGGGGGGUAGAGGUGGUGGUAGAGCCCCAGAGUGGAGGUGCUGGGGGAGACAGCUCCCAUGCUGGGCUCUUUGGCUUCUACCUCCCUUGUUGGCUGGCCCAGCUCCUCGGCUGCUGUCCUCAGCCUGCUGAGCCACAGCUGCAGGUGCCAGAAAGUCCUGGGGGCACCCUCCACCCUGACUUCCAGAGCUGGGGGGUCUUCACCACAAAUAGAUUUGCUGCCUCCUAAGUGUGACCUUGCACCAUAUUUAACAAGUUAGGAAUGGGUUCGGGGUAUUACUGCAGUGUGUGGUGGUUGUAUUGGGGUGGGGGGAGGAGGUGGGUGGGAGUGAUCCGGGAGAACGGUUGCUGUUAAAACGAUCGUGUUGUUUAUGUUUUAUCUGUGGGGUGAUAUGUGAAAUACUGUACAUAGGCCUGAUGAGUUGUGGGAUUAGAAUGUCAUCUCUGGCCAGUUUUCUUGCUGUAUAGACCAUACUUAGGUGUAGAGUGUGCAAGCUUGCUGUAGCAUUGAGCCCUGGGCUCCCAGCAGCAGCGAGGUCAGCAUCGUGUGGCCAGUUGUGCCUCAGUGUCCCCAGCAAACGUGGGUGGGAGUGGUGGACCCAAGCUGGGCCACUGAGCAGACCAAAUAAAUUAAGCAGUUAACAUAACUGACAA
Non-coding RNA from Sus scrofa (pig), 4670 nucleotides. NCBI's taxonomy places the organism in Eukaryota, Metazoa, Chordata, Mammalia, Artiodactyla, Suidae. The record is from RefSeq and is a predicted model, not a curated record.